AUUGAACGCUGGCGGCAGGCCUAACACAUGCAAGUCGAACGAGUGGCGGACGGGUGAGUAAUGUCUGGGAAACUGCCUGAUGGAGGGGGAUAACUACUGGAAACGGUAGCUAAUACCGCAUACCAUCGGAUGUGCCCAGAUGGGAUUAGCUAGUAGGUGGGGUAAAGGCUCACCUAGGCGACGAUCCCUAGCUGGUCUGAGAGGAUGACGAGGCACGCGGGAACUGAGACACGGUGCAGACUCCUACGGGAAGCAGCAGUGGGGAAUAUGGCACAGUGGGUGCAAGCCUGAUGCAGCGAUGCCGCGUGUAUGAGGAAGGCAUUCGGGUUGUAAAGUACUUUCAGCGGGGAGGCGUUACCCGUAGAAGAAGCACCUGCUAACUCCGUGCCAGCAGCCGCGGUAAUUC
RNAcentral lists this ribosomal RNA (406 nucleotides) under uncultured bacterium. RNAcentral's name for it is "partial 16S ribosomal RNA". It matches the Rfam family "Bacterial small subunit ribosomal RNA", at positions 30 to 526 of the family's 1533-position model. The record is from RNAcentral.